RNAcentral lists this ribosomal RNA (385 nucleotides) under uncultured bacterium. Its description in RNAcentral is "bacterial SSU rRNA". It matches the Rfam family "Bacterial small subunit ribosomal RNA", at positions 30 to 416 of the family's 1533-position model. The record is from RNAcentral.
AUUGAACGCUGGCGGCAUGCCUUACACAUGCAAGUCGAACGGCAGCACGGGAGCAAUCCUGGUGGCGAGUGGCGAACGGGUGAGUAAUAUAUCGGAACGUGCCCAGUCGUGGGGAUAACGUAGCGAAAGCUACGCUAAUACCGCAUACGAUCUAUGGAUGAAAGCGGGGGAUCGCAAGACCUCGCGCGAUUGGAGCGGCCGAUAUCAGAUUAGGUAGUUGGUGAGGUAAAGGCUCACCAAGCCGACGAUCUGUAGCUGGUCUGAGAGGACGACCAGCCACACUGGGACUGAGACACGGCCCAGACUCCUAUGGGAGGCAGCAGUGGGGAAUUUUGGACAAUGGGCGCAAGCCUGAUCCAGCAAUGCCGCGUGCAGGAUGAAGGCC